UACGAAGGUGGCGAGCGUUGUUCGGAUUUACUGGGCGUAAAGAGCGCGUAGGCGGUUAGGUAAGCCUCUUGUGAAAUCUCCCGGCUUAACCGGGAAUAGUCGAGGGUAACUACCUAGCUAGAGGGCGGGAGAGGAGUGCGGAAUUCCCGGUGUAGCGGUGAAAUGCGUAGAUAUCGGGAAGAAGGCCGGUGGCGAAGGCG
RNAcentral lists this ribosomal RNA (200 nucleotides) under uncultured bacterium. Its description in RNAcentral is "partial 16S ribosomal RNA". It matches the Rfam family "Bacterial small subunit ribosomal RNA", at positions 524 to 723 of the family's 1533-position model. The record is from RNAcentral. RNAcentral also lists the same sequence under 1 other name.